ACUGAGCUGAGGAGAACGUUUUAGACAGAACUGAACUCAAGAAGAACUUAGGAGUAAAGGCAGAGCAUUGGGAGAAAAGACAUUGAGACUAAGAACAUUACUGUGACAUCAGAACAGGAGGAGAGAGCAAGAUUGGAAGGAGAAUGCAGAGUGGAGUAACUCUGAAACCAAAGAUUUUGACAGCCUAGUGGGAGCUGGUGUGCCAUUGCCUCGGCAUUGUUGACCCUACCUCGGAUGAGUCCCAGUUUACUGUUGAGUCCCAGUGUACUGCUAGUCUUGGCUUGAAGUUCAGCAUGCAAGCCUCCUUUCUAUGAAAGCUUUGAUUGUAUUAAUCUCCCAAGAUCUUAACCCCAGGAGUCAAGGGAUCACUCAGAGGCUUCAGAGCUAAUCUGUUCUGUAGAUUGCCCCGUGCAUAUGAUCUGAAACUGGUAUGCAUCGCAAUUGUCACACCCAUCAUAUUCAAACUGGUCUAUAGUCUUGACUAACGAGCACAGCAAACAAGCCCGCAGAUGCCGCAGGUCCUUCGGUACCGUCUCCAGGGCCAUCCUCACCGAUGCGACAACACAGGUUCCUCCAGCCGCUUUUUUCUACUUCUAUCAUGUUUAAUGUUCCAAAUAGAUUUUUAAAACUGGUUGAGUGUGUAUUAGUCUUAGCUUCAGAAGAUAUCAUGUAUAUUUAAGAGGCAUUUAACUACUAUAAAUUAUUUUGAUGACUUAAAAAUGUUAAUACUGAGUUGUAUAUUUUUAAGUAAAUUUCAUUAGUUUAAUAAAAAAAUCAAUUU
RNAcentral lists this long non-coding RNA (781 nucleotides) under Mus musculus (house mouse). RNAcentral's name for it is "predicted gene, 48094". Lineage: Eukaryota; Metazoa; Chordata; Mammalia; Rodentia; Muridae. The record is from RNAcentral.